UACGUAGUUAGCCGGGGCUUCUUAGUCAGGUACCGUCAUUUUCUUCCCUGCUGAUAGAGCUUUACAUACCGAAAUACUUCAUCGCUCACGCGGCGUCGCUGCAUCAGGGUUUCCCCCAUUGUGCAAUAUUCCCCACUGCUGCCUCCCGUAGGAGUUUGGGCCGUGUCUCAGUCCCAAUGUGGCCGGUCACCCUCUCAGGUCGGCUACUGAUCGUUGCCUUGGUGAGCCGUUACCUCACCAACUAGCUAAUCAGACGCGGGCCCAUCUCAUACCACCGGAGUUUUUACCACUGUACCAUGCAGUACCGUGGUCUUAUACGGUAUUAGCAGUCAUUUCUAACUGUUAUCCCCCUGUAUGAGGCAGGUUGCCCACGCGUUACUCACCCGUCCGCCGCUCAGUCACUUCGUUCUUCCUCCGAAGAUUCAAAACAAAGUGCUUCGCUCGACUUGCAUGUGUUAAGCACGCCGCCAGCGUUCAUCCUGAGCCAGGAUCAAACUCU
RNAcentral lists this ribosomal RNA (499 nucleotides) under uncultured Lachnospiraceae bacterium. RNAcentral describes it as "partial 16S ribosomal RNA". Lineage: Bacteria; Bacillati; Bacillota; Clostridia; Lachnospirales; Lachnospiraceae. The record is from RNAcentral.